Molecule: small RNA, 132 nt
Filed under: Salmonella enterica subsp. enterica serovar Thompson
Lineage: Bacteria; Pseudomonadati; Pseudomonadota; Gammaproteobacteria; Enterobacterales; Enterobacteriaceae
Also listed under: 4 other names
Description: RtT sRNA
Rfam family: RtT RNA
About the family: This family represents a bacterial cis-regulatory element known as RtT RNA. The exact function of RtT is unknown although it is thought that it may be involved in changing the cellular response in relation to amino acid starvation.
Source: RNAcentral
AUAUCUCUCUGUACGGGAAGGAUGAGAAGCUUCGACUAAGGUUCGAUUCGAGCGUCAGCGAGAAAGCGUUGCCGCAGGCAACGACCCGAAGGGCGAAACGCGCAGCGCUGAGUCAUCCUUCCCCCACCACCA